Oncorhynchus kisutch (coho salmon) is the source of this 866-nucleotide RNA transcript. RefSeq lists it as uncharacterized. The record is from RefSeq and is a predicted model, not a curated record. Lineage: Eukaryota; Metazoa; Chordata; Actinopteri; Salmoniformes; Salmonidae. The transcript has 4 exons.
GACGAGCUCUUUGAUUAUUAUCGGCGACGCCACGGCGGGGAGCUAUGAUUAGAAUUAGCACAUCCGGGGAACCGAUCCAGAAACGCUUCUAUAGUUUGACUUGAUGAUUGACACACCGUCGUCUACGGCGCAUACCUUCAUACCUUCGCCCUGACAGGUAGUCGACUGUGCUGUGACAAUGUCGGAGGUCUGACGAGACAAGAAGACAACUUUUUCCCAGCGUGCCUCAUGGAACGAUACCAGGAAGACUUAGCUGGUCUGGACCCUGUCUUUCUAGAGGAGGAGGAAUGGGAUCUGUACAACUCCAUCUCGGCUCUGUCCCUGCCCAGUCCCCAACCCCCGCUCCCCUCUCUGGUCCCAGGGCGGAGGCAAUGAGAGCUCCGAUGACCCUACCACCCAGGGGGUGGGUGGAGGGGUCCCCAGCCCAAAUUCCUACCUGAGACCCAGGACCCAGGAGACAGAGGUCCUCCUGAGAGGAGCAGCCCUCCUUCCCUCCUCCAGUACCCCCUCGGAGGAGAACCUCCAGUGCUGCUCUGCUGACUAAUGCUCAGAAGAGGUUCUCCUGUGAUCUGACUGUACCCGCUAUCAGACUGAACCGCUUUAAUACAGCCACAUAUAGUCAUCUGGAUACCUGGAGCAUCAAACUGAUAGACACUCCACAAGGAAGCACCAAACAACUGGCUUCUCUCUGCAUGUUGACGUCCAAGUAAGAAACGCCACAUCCCUUUCAGAUGUUUGAAUAUCAAUCCAAUGAACUGAGUCGUUUUUUUUUUACAUUCAAGAUGAGACACGAACCAUGGAAACGUCUUUGCGUUUGCCACUCUUUCAAAGUUUUCUCCUUGAGAAACGCAGAAAUUAUCCCAUAG